Cavia porcellus (domestic guinea pig) is the source of this 1616-nucleotide long non-coding RNA. RefSeq lists it as uncharacterized. The record is from RefSeq and is a predicted model, not a curated record. The transcript is spliced from 3 exons. Lineage: Eukaryota; Metazoa; Chordata; Mammalia; Rodentia; Caviidae.
AUUACAGAGAGCUAAUGUAAGCGAUCCAUUACAGAGAGGGGCUUCAUGAACCGUUUCACGGUGCAAUUUUACUAUUCUUUCCAGGACUUUCAGUCCCCUGCAACCAAGUCAAGAGAACAGGGUCCAAGAGAGCUCCCCACAGGCAACAGACUGGUUCUCUGGAACAGAAGUGUUCCCCACAGACCCCAUGCCUGCACCAUAGUACUGGAGUUGCAGAAACAUGACGUCCUGCCUUGUGGUGCUACCAGAGAAAACAAACAUAAAGUUCCUAGCAGAGCUCCAGGCAUCUCUUUAGUUCUUGGAGAAGAUGAAGCUGGUAACAUGGUUAGAGCAAAUCCUCCAUGUCAGACAUGAGGACAACCAUGGAGGAGACUGUACUUUUAAGCUUGGUUUGGAAAAGCGAGUUUCACAGCAAUCAACUCAAUGCUAAAGAAGGCACCUAGACUAUGACAGGCUGAAAGAAUCUUUCCAAACAUAACGGUGCAUUAACUGGGAUGAUGGAGCUGAAGAGGAUGCCAAGCUAGAGCCUAUCUGAUCCUAUUAUGGACUUGGUACCAUGAGUGUCUGUGUCGGAGGAGGAUCCCAUUUGAAAUGCUGAAUUGACAUCCAAAGAAUAAUUGAAGUGAAUUCACCAGGAAUCGUAAUUUACAAGGAAUUAUACAUAACCCGCAACACAACACGCCAAGCAAAGGAAGAACAGGAAAAGCAAGAUGUUCAGUCCUGACGUGAGUGUGGUAGGGAGCUGUGAGGACGCUGAUCCCUGCUGCUCCUGUUCUAAGACCCCAGAUGUCCCCGGGAGCCUUGCACAUCCACAGAUGGGACGUUUUGAAGAGCAUUGGACCAUGGAGGUGCUAGAGCUGACUUGCUAUUAGGAGGCAGAACUUGGCUAGAGGACUUGGAAGGUUAUCUCUCUUUCCCCAAGGCCUCCUCUCUUUCUUUGCUUCCUGACAUCCAUUAUUCUGAGCAUGUUUCCUUCACUGUCUUCUCUCCUGCAUGCUGUUUUUGUCCUGGAUCCAGCUGACUAUGGACUGUAACCAUGAUCCAAAAAGGAAAACCUCGCUGCCUUUUAAAUUGUUGGUGUCAGUAUUAUAUCACAGCAAUGAGAAAGUGACUAAGGCAUGCAUGUGUGGGGGCACAUAGCAACAGUGCCCUUCUGUGCUGUUUUUCUACCAACCUAAAACUGCUCCAAAAAUAAAGCCUAUUACUUUUUUAAAAGAUCAUAUUAGGAGGUGGCUCCUUCCUCCUGUUCUUCAAGUUCCAUAUAAUAAGAACAGUAACACGAAUUCUGCAGAAACAGGAAAAACAACCCAAGAAAGCAUUAUAAUGAGUUCUACUCACUUAUCAAGUGAGAAAUGAAAUGCUCAUUAGAAUUGAAUAAGAACUUGUGUAUAAGAACUUACAUGAAAAACAUCACCAAACCACCUUUUAACUGAAAAGUGAUCUCAGAAAAGCCAAAAAGCCUGUAUACAGUUUUGUAUGAAGCAAUCAGUGAGACUAUUAGCUGACCUUUUCAUGGAAAAUUUAGGAAGUAUUUAAGGAAGUGCUUCAUGCUGCGAAAUUAAGAGAAGAAGAUCAUUUAGCUGCAAAAACAUGUUGAGAGAGAGAGAGAGAGAGAG